This is a long non-coding RNA of Mustela lutreola (European mink), 2119 nucleotides long. RefSeq lists it as uncharacterized. The record is from RefSeq and is a predicted model, not a curated record. The transcript has 2 exons. Lineage: Eukaryota; Metazoa; Chordata; Mammalia; Carnivora; Mustelidae.
CCGGGACCCCUGACCCCGACCGGGGACGCCCGCCCUCACGCCGGGCCCCAGCGCACACACACACCUUCCCCACCCGUUCCCCUCGGCCCUGGCCCUGGGACCCCAGAUCCCACCCGGUGGGGACCCUGGGACUUCAGACCCGGCCCGGGUCCCCCUCCGGCCCUCCCCCUGGGACCCCUGCCUGGCCCUCAGCCGGAGAUCUGGACCCCACCACCCCCUUCCGCGCCAGCCUUUGGGUUCCAGGCGGGUCACCGGGCCCUGCGUGUGGCUGCGAGCACGUGAGUGGGACAGGAAGGGCCGUGCGGGUCGGAGCCGGGCGCGUUGCUCCCAGCUUCGGAGGCGGGUCAGGGCUUCCCGAGGGGCCGGCCCAGGCCCUGGGAGCUGCCUGCAGCCAGGCUGUCCGUGUGCCCCGUGCUGGACCAGCACCUGCGCGUCCGCCUCGUUCAGGCCGGAAGAUCACAUGCAGAGCCCUGGGCACUUCGCAUGGGCUUGUUGCCCCGUUUCUGGAACAUUUACAAUGUUCGGGGAAAGCUCGGCGAGUGCUGGUCUGUUGGAAAGAGGCUGCAGUAAGGUGCGUCAGAGGUCGGUGGCCGCGGCCUCCAGACGACCCUCCCCGAGUCCUGGGUCCUGAGCUUGUGUUUGGAGGCGUUGCCCCCGGUGUUCAGGGCAGCCGGUGGCCCUGGAGGAAACACGUCUCCAUGGUUAACUCCGUGUUGGAGCCUUAAGAGCAUUUUCAGUUUCCAGCGUCCAAGUCCUCAGAGCCCAGCUGUCCUUCAGGUUUGGGGUUGGGGCAGAGAAUUUCUGAAAGGGCCGUCCCGGUGUGUGCCCCUCGGACUCCGGCAUCGAACCCCCACGGAGCUCGGAGUGGAGGGCGCGGUUGUCCCCGCCUCCGUCCCCGUCCGAGGGUGCGGCACCCGCUUGCAGCCCGUCUGAGCCGGGCGCUGGGCGUUUUCGGGUUCUGCCCUGUGGCACGUGUCCGUGAAGCGAGCGCGUAGGCCGUGGUGGCUGAGAGAAGGCUCUGGAGAGGCCUGUGGGGCUCCCGUGAGGGCCGUUCCGGCCAGAGGUGCGCACCUUUGCUCCCGGCCACGCGGCCACCUGCCCAUCAGGCUGCGACGUCUCACGAGUUUUUGCAGAUGGCUCCCGACCCCUCCGCGGCCUUCCCCGUGCCCUCAGCGCUCCUCGUCUUGCGGUUGCACGUUGGAGGCUUUCUAGGAGCGGACAGGAGAGCGGGUCCUUUAAGACUUGGUGACCGGUCGGUGGGAACAGGUCAGUGACGAUUCAGGCACAGCGGCACUUGGCCCUUUUCCCCGGGGGUCCCCACACCUCUGACGCCGGCUUUGUCUGUUUGCGCGGGGCCUGUGUGGAUGCCAGCCGGCCUCCCGGUGGACUCGGAGACAGUUUGCGGCCACGGCCGCGUCUUGGGCCGGCCCUCGGCGUCUUCACGCAUCUUGGCGGCAGCCGGUACGUGCCCCGGAACUUCGCCGGAGGACGGCGGCUCUGAACCUGGGUUUGGCCAGCUGUCCGAGGAGGGGCGCAGCGGCCGUGCGGACGUCCGUGGUUCUUGUGGGGGUUUCGUCGGACGAGAGAGUACGGGAACGGGCCUCGAACCUCGGGAGGUGUUUUAUGGACGCGGUUCAAGGAAGGUUUUGCUAAGGGAGCAGGUCCUGAAGCCGCCCACGGGAGUCCUGUCAUCGUUUCUGUGUUUCGAUCAAGUAGAAGUCGUCAGCGGGGCCUUUGUCCGGAGCCUCCCGUCCCCCCCACCGUGUGUGCGGGAGACAGACUAAUAAUUCAGGGUAAAGGGGUGUCCGUUAGGGGGACUUCUCCAAAGGAGACGUGCAUGGAAUGUAGGGUCAGCACGGCGAGGCGGCUGAGGGGGCCGAGGACAGUAACAGACCAAGUGCUGCCCGCCGGAGACGGGUCGUGGUAGGGGCUUGGGUAAUCGGAAAACCCCGCACGGCUUCCCUUGCCCUGCACACCGGUCGGGACUGGCUGGGAGUGUGGCCCUGCCUUUGCUCACGACUCACGUGUGGUCCCACUGGAUCGUCAUCAUUGACCGCUGUCAUUGGGGUCAGCCCUUGGGGGGCUUCUGGUCUCAGAAUACACUGAUUUUUUUCCUCGA